UCCCCUGUAGCUCAAUGGUAGAGUAGCCGGCUGUUAACCGGAUGGUUGUAGGUUCGAAUCCUACCGGGGGAGCCA
This 75-nucleotide transfer RNA is filed under the name Candidatus Brocadia carolinensis. RNAcentral's name for it is "Candidatus Brocadia caroliniensis tRNA-Asn". It matches the Rfam family "tRNA". From Rfam's summary of the family: Transfer RNA (tRNA) molecules are approximately 80 nucleotides in length. Their secondary structure includes four short double-helical elements and three loops (D, anti-codon, and T loops). Lineage: Bacteria; Pseudomonadati; Planctomycetota; Candidatus Brocadiia; Candidatus Brocadiales; Candidatus Brocadiaceae. The record is from RNAcentral.